RNAcentral lists this ribosomal RNA (253 nucleotides) under uncultured bacterium. RNAcentral describes it as "partial 16S ribosomal RNA". It matches the Rfam family "Archaeal small subunit ribosomal RNA", at positions 474 to 727 of the family's 1478-position model. The record is from RNAcentral.
UACCAGCACCCCGAGUGGUCGGGACGUUUAUUGGGCCUAAAGCAUCCGUAGCCGGUUCUACAAGUCUUCCGUUAAAUCCAGCUGCUUAACAGAUGGGCUGCGGAAGAUACUAUGGAGCUAGGAGGCGGGAGAGGCAAGCGGUACUCAGUGGGUAGGGGUAAAAUCCGUUGAUCCAUUGAAGACCACCAGUGGCGAAGGCGGCUUGCCAGAAUGCGCUCGACGGUGAGGGAUGAAAGCUGGGGGAGCAAACCGG